This 547-nucleotide ribosomal RNA is filed under the name uncultured archaeon. Its description in RNAcentral is "bacterial SSU rRNA". It matches the Rfam family "Archaeal small subunit ribosomal RNA", at positions 327 to 876 of the family's 1478-position model. The record is from RNAcentral.
GGGGCGCAGCAGGCGCGAAUCCUCUGCAAUAGGCGAAAGCUUGACAGGGUUACUCUGAGUGAUUUCCGUUAAGGAGAUCUUUUGGCACCUCUAAAAAUGGUGCAGAAUAAGGGGUGGGCAAGUCUGGUGUCAGCCGCCGCGGUAAUACCAGCACCCCGAGUGGUCGGGACGUUUAUUGGGCCUAAAGCAUCCGUAGCCGGUUCUACAAGUCUUCCGUUAAAUCCACCUGCUUAACAGAUGGGCUGCGGAAGAUACUAUAGAGCUAGGAGGCGGGAGAGGCAAGCGGUACUCGAUGGGUAGGGGUAAAAUCCGUUGAUCCAUUGAAGACCACCAGUGGCGAAGGCGGCUUGCCAGAACGCGCUCGACGGUGAGGGAUGAAAGCUGGGGGAGCAAACCGGAUUAGAUACCCGGGUAGUCCCAGCUGUAAACGAUGCAGACUCGGUGAUGAAUUGGCUUAUUGCUAAUUCAGUGCCGCAGGGAAGCCGUUAAGUUUGCCGCCUGGGGAGUACGGUCGCAAGACUGAAACUUAAAGGAAUUGGCGGGGGAG